AGUGAGGAAUAUUGGUCAAUGGACGGAAGUCUGAACCAGCCAAGUAGCGUGCAGGAUGACGGCCCUAUGGGUUGUAAACUGCUUUUGUAUGGGGAUAAAGUUAGGGACGUGUCCCUAUUUGCAGGUACCAUACGAAUAAGGACCGGCUAAUUCCGUGCCAGCAGCCGCGGUAAUACGGAAGGUCCAGGCGUUAUCCGGAUUUAUUGGGUUUAAAGGGAGCGUAGGCUGGAGAUUAAGUGUGUUGUGAAAUGUAGACGCUCAACGUCUGACUUGCAGCGCAUACUGGUUUCCUUGAGUACGCACAACGUUGGCGGAAUUCGUCGUGUAGCGGUGAAAUGCUUAGAUAUGACGAAGAACUCCGAUUGCGAAGGCAGCUGACGGGAGCGCAACUGACGCUGAAGCUCGAAGGUGCGGGUAUCAAACAGGAUUA
RNAcentral lists this ribosomal RNA (430 nucleotides) under Klebsiella pneumoniae. RNAcentral describes it as "bacterial SSU rRNA". It matches the Rfam family "Bacterial small subunit ribosomal RNA", at positions 353 to 780 of the family's 1533-position model. The record is from RNAcentral. Lineage: Bacteria; Pseudomonadati; Pseudomonadota; Gammaproteobacteria; Enterobacterales; Enterobacteriaceae.